This is a non-coding RNA of Callithrix jacchus (white-tufted-ear marmoset), 1106 nucleotides long. Lineage: Eukaryota; Metazoa; Chordata; Mammalia; Primates; Cebidae. The record is from RefSeq and is a predicted model, not a curated record.
GAGACAAGCUGCAGUGGAGCUCCAUUUACAUUGGUCACUAUGCACUCCCCUCCCAACUCCAGAAAGCCUGUGGCCCCUCCCAUGCUUUGGCUGCCAUCUUGGAAAGGAGGGUGAGAAAGUAGAGCAAUCUGAAACACACAGUUGUCCAAAGAAUCGAGUUAGGUCCCCGAAACAGAUACAAUGAGCUUGUCUCACUUUAUUUUAGGUUAAACUAAGAUUUCUUUUUCCCCUUUACUCAAGAUGUAGACACCUGAUGAGAAACAGGUCAAGAGAAAUCUAGGAGCUCCCUUGCUUUUGGACAUCCCUAUUAGAGGAUGAGGAAAUUUGUAAUUCCAUUAAGUAUUUUUUGAGCUUUUCGACACUUUUAAUUAUUAUUGGGAAAGAAGUCAGAGAAGUCCCUAAAGCCACAAAGAAUUAUUAAUGUUUUUGUUUGUUUGGGGAUUUUAAGCUCCAGUAUUGUGAUAUUUUUUUUGGUAAAGCAUCAACUGUAAUAGCUUUGCAAUGCAACGUUAUCAAAUUAAACAAAAAGGGACGUAAGUAGUUACAUGAACUGCUCGUUAAAGCUGACUACCUUUUUAAAAAAUGCCAGGAUAGCUCUGGAGGGUAGAGAAUAACCCAGUUGAAAGUCUAUAAGCAAUGCUGUCCACACCCCGAAUAGACUGGCAAAAAAAGCCUCUAUCCUGUCAGCCACUGGCAUCAACCUCAUCCCAAUCAGAUAACUAAAAACCAGGUCUGCCGUACGUGUCAUUCAAAGCAUGGCUCUCGGCAAAAUGGAAAGAAGCAGAGGCUGCUAAGGGAGAGACGUGAAGGUCAAGGCUGAGCUCCCGACAGCUGCCCCUCCAGCCUUCCCCCACCUCCUAUAAAGAGACGCCAUGGGCUCUUGGUCCAGAGACUCAAAUUCAAGAGAAGAGAAGAGGCAACAUUUUCAGUGAUGAUGCCCAAGUUGAACAAAGAGUGGUCCAGGAGAAGGAACCAACAAAAAAUCUGAUCUACCUCCAGAGCUUAGGAACUCAGCAAAUUCUCCUAGAUCAUGAUACCUCAUUUCUGAGACCUUCAUCUUUACCAAAUCUUUCGAUCCAAAGCAAACGAAUACUGAAAAUGCAUGU